CAAUUUCAGAGGAUAUAACUAAACCACCUGUGGUUUACCACUGAUCUUUACCAUAAAUCAGAAGAAUGAUGAAAAUUAUGGAAAAAGAGAUUAUUAUCAAACCUUCAGAGUCAAGUUAGAUGUACUAGAUGAGUCUGACUUCUGGAUGGACUUCAGAAGAUCCUUGAGAGCAAGAUGCUUUGGCAGGCUGACCUUCGUCUGAAACACACAGAUAUAAGAAUUGUACAUGACCUUGCAUCUUGUCUCAACACAGUGU
Lonchura striata (white-rumped munia) is the source of this 256-nucleotide non-coding RNA. NCBI's taxonomy places the organism in Eukaryota, Metazoa, Chordata, Aves, Passeriformes, Estrildidae. The record is from RefSeq and is a predicted model, not a curated record.